CAGGUCAGACAGGGGAGCCCUUCACGGGCUGAGAGUGCGGAUCGCCGCAGACCCUCCGAACCUGAUCCGGUUAGCACCGGCGAAGGGAGUCACCACGUGCGUGCG
RNAcentral lists this non-coding RNA (105 nucleotides) under Nocardioides sp. RNAcentral describes it as "TPP sequence". It matches the Rfam family "TPP riboswitch aptamer (THI element)". From Rfam's summary of the family: Vitamin B(1) in its active form thiamin pyrophosphate (TPP) is an essential coenzyme that is synthesised by coupling of pyrimidine and thiazole moieties in bacteria. The previously detected thiamin-regulatory element, thi box was extended, resulting in a new, highly conserved RNA secondary structure, the THI element, which is widely distributed in eubacteria and also occurs in some archaea. Lineage: Bacteria; Bacillati; Actinomycetota; Actinomycetes; Propionibacteriales; Nocardioidaceae. The record is from RNAcentral. RNAcentral also lists the same sequence under 1 other name.